Non-coding RNA from Paramuricea clavata, 726 nucleotides. Lineage: Eukaryota; Metazoa; Cnidaria; Anthozoa; Malacalcyonacea; Plexauridae. The record is from the annotation of a GenBank genome assembly.
CCUAGGUAUCCAGUUGCCAAAGUUGUGAGGCUGCUGCAGUUUAUCGUUGUGUAGCAUGUGAAAUGUUCAUGUGUGAGAAUUGUUGUAAUUGGCAUAACAAGUGGCCAGCAAACAAGAAGCAUACUGUGUUGUCUAUCAACGAGCUGGACAGUCCUGAAGGUCAAGCCAAGAUAAAAAGCAAACUUUAUUGUAGGAAACAUCAAGAUAAAACACUCAAGUUUUACUGUGAAACAUGCAAGGUAAGAUCUUACUGAUGAGUUAAGCCCUACUGAAGGAUGGGUUUUUAUAUAAUACAAUAACUAUACAGUGAAAAACGCAAUUUGUUUGUCAAUACCCAUGCAGGAUCAAACAAUCCUGGACGGAAAAUUUAAAUGGCUUUGCGUUGGCUUUUAAAAAUGUGGAAACUCAAAACCUUUUAACGUGUGAAGUUAACAGUAUGCUGUACAGUAUUCAACAAGAGACAAGUUAACAAAAAACGUUAUAAUAAAGUUAGAUAAAGUUAACCAUUUAAAUAAUGUUUAAAUUAAGUUAACGUUUUAAUAAAGUUAGCCAUUUUUUUAUAUAUACUGUAGUUAUUUUAUAACAAUAUUACCAAAUGGUUUUACGUGCAGGAUAGCGUCAUUCAUGACCAUGCGAUGCUGCAAGAAUCUUUCGAGAAUGUUUCGCAAACAUCCCGCGUGCAUGGCACGGAAAACCACUUUGGUAUUCUUGUAAGGGUAUUUCUAG